UAGCGGAGGAAAAGAAACCAACAGGGAUUGCCUCAGUAACGGCGAGUGAAGCGGCAAAAGCUCAAAUUUGAAAUCUAGCACCUUCGGUGUUCGAGUUGUAAUUUGAAGAUGGUAACCUUGGGUUUGGCUCUUGUCUAUGUUCCUUGGAACAGGACGUCAUAGAGGGUGAGAAUCCCGUCUGAUGAGAUGCCCAUUCCUAUGUAAGGUGCUAUCGAAGAGUCGAGUUGUUUGGGAAUGCAGCUCUAAGUGGGUGGUAAAUUCCAUCUAAAGCUAAAUAUUGGCGAGAGACCGAUAGCGAACAAGUACAGUGAUGGAAAGAUGAAAAGAACUUUGAAAAGAGAGUGAAAAAGUACGUGAAAUUGUUGAAAGGGAAGGGCAUUAGAUCAGACUUGGUGUUUUACGAUUAUCUUCUCUUCUUGAGUUGUGCACUCGUAUUUCACUGGGCCAGCAUCGAUUCGGAUGGCAAGAUAAUGGCAGUUGAAUGUGGCUUCACUUCGGUGGAGUGUUAUAGCUUCUGCUGAUAUUGCCUGUCUGGAUCGAGGGCUGCGUCUUUUGACUAGGAUGCUGGCGUAAUGAUCUAAUGCCGCCCGUCUUAAACCCCGGGACC
Molecule: ribosomal RNA, 607 nt
Filed under: Hansenula anomala
Lineage: Eukaryota; Fungi; Ascomycota; Saccharomycetes; Phaffomycetales; Wickerhamomycetaceae
Description: Wickerhamomyces anomalus partial large subunit ribosomal RNA
Rfam family: Eukaryotic large subunit ribosomal RNA
Source: RNAcentral